RNAcentral lists this non-coding RNA (197 nucleotides) under Jeotgalibacillus soli. Lineage: Bacteria; Bacillati; Bacillota; Bacilli; Caryophanales; Caryophanaceae. The record is from RNAcentral.
CCAUAAAAUGUGGAAGUAGGUUCCUUGAAUGAAUAAGUUCAAGGAUUAAAAGGGAAGCUCGGUGUAAUUCCGGCACGGUCCCGCCACUGUAAAAGGGGAAUUAGUAUACAAAAAACCACUGAUCCAAUUGGGUUGGGAAGGGGUGUAGCUAAUAUUGAUCCUUGAGUCAGGAGACCUGCCUAUUUCGACAACACUGU